AUUGAACGCUGGCGGCAGGCCUAACACAUGCAAGUCGAACGGUAACAGGAAGCAGCUUGCUGCUUCGCUGACGAGUGGCGGACGGGUGAGUAAUGUCUGGGAAGCUGCCUGAUGGAGGGGGAUAACUACUGGAAACGGUAGCUAAUACCGCAUAAUGUCGCAAGACCAAAGAGGGGGACCUUCGGGCUUCUUGCCUCGGAAUGGGCCAGAUGGGAUUAGCUUGUUGGUGGGGUAACGGCUCACCAAGGCGACGAUCCCUAGCUGGUCUGAGAGGAUGACCAGCCACACUGGAACUGAGACACGGUCCAGACUCCUACGGGAGGCAGCAGUGGGGAAUAUUGCACAAUGGGCGCAAGCCUGAUGCAGCCAUGCCGCGUGUAUGAAGAAGGCCUUCGGGUUGUAAAGUACUUUCAGCGGGGAGGAAGGGAGUAAAGUUAAUACCUUUGCUCAUUGACGUUACCCGCAGAAGAAGCACCGGCUAACUCCGUG
This 489-nucleotide ribosomal RNA is filed under the name uncultured bacterium. RNAcentral describes it as "partial 16S ribosomal RNA". It matches the Rfam family "Bacterial small subunit ribosomal RNA", at positions 30 to 507 of the family's 1533-position model. The record is from RNAcentral.